RNAcentral lists this ribosomal RNA (579 nucleotides) under uncultured bacterium. RNAcentral describes it as "partial 16S ribosomal RNA". It matches the Rfam family "Bacterial small subunit ribosomal RNA", at positions 355 to 927 of the family's 1533-position model. The record is from RNAcentral.
UGGGGAAUUUUGGACAAUGGGGGAAACCCUGAUCCAGCCAUCCCGCGUGUGCGAUGAAGGCCUUCGGGUUGUAAAGCACUUUUGGCAGGAAAGAAACGUCGCGGGUUAAUACCCCGCGAAACUGACGGUACCUGCAGAAUAAGCACCGGCUAACUACGUGCCAGCAGCCGCGGUAAUACGUAGGGUGCAAGCGUUAAUCGGAAUUACUGGGCGUAAAGCGUGCGCAGGCGGUUCGGAAAGAAAGAUGUGAAAUCCCAGAGCUUAACUUUGGAACUGCAUUUUUAACUACCGGGCUAGAGUGUGUCAGAGGGAGGUGGAAUUCCGCGUGUAGCAGUGAAAUGCGUAGAUAUGCGGAGGAACACCGAUGGCGAAGGCAGCCUCCUGGGAUAACACUGACGCUCAUGCACGAAAGCGUGGGGAGCAAACAGGAUUAGAUACCCUGGUAGUCCACGCCCUAAACGAUGUCAACUAGCUGUUGGGGCCUUCGGGCCUUGGUAGCGCAGCUAACGCGUGAAGUUGACCGCCUGGGGAGUACGGUCGCAAGAUUAAAACUUAAAGGAAUUGACGGGGGUCAUAGCU